AUCCGCCUGGGGAGUAUGACCGCAAGGCUACAACUCCAAUGAAUUGACGGGGACCCGCACAAGCGGUGGAGCAUGUGGUUUAAUUCGAAGAUACGCGAAAAACCUUACCCACCUUUGACAUGUACGGAAUUUGCCAGAGAUGGCUUAGUGCUCGAAAGAGAGCCGUAACACAGGUGCUGCGUGGCUGUCGUCAGCUCGUGUCGUGAGAUGUUGGGUUAAGUCCCGCAACGAGCGCAACCCUUGUCAUUAGUCGCUACAUUUAGUUGGGCACUCUAAUGAGACUGCCGGUGACAAACUCGGAGGAACGGUGGGGAUGACGUCAAGUCCUCAUGGCCCUUAUAGGUGGGGCUACACACGUCAUACAAUGGCUGGUACAAAGGGUUGCCAACCCGCGAGGGGGAGCUAAUCCCAUAAAGCCAGUCGUAGUCCGGAUCGCAGUCUGCAACUCGACUGCGUGAAGUCGGAAUCGCUAGUAAUCGUGGUUCAGAAUGUCACGGUGAAUACGUUCCCGGGUCUUGUACUCACCGCCCGUCA
RNAcentral lists this ribosomal RNA (534 nucleotides) under uncultured bacterium. RNAcentral's name for it is "bacterial SSU rRNA". It matches the Rfam family "Bacterial small subunit ribosomal RNA", at positions 867 to 1399 of the family's 1533-position model. The record is from RNAcentral.